AUACGGAGGGUGCAAGCGUUACUAGGAAUCACUGGGCGUAAAGCGCGCGCAGGCGGUCUUUUAAGUUGGAUGUGAAAGCCUACGGCUCAACCGUAGAACUGCAUCCAAAACUAUUAGACUAGAGUGUGGGAGAGGAAGAUGGAAUUAGUUGUGUAGGGGUAAAAUCCGUAGAGAUAACUAGGAAUACCAAAAGCGAAGGCAAUCUUCUGGAACACUACUGACGCUGAGGCGCGAAAGCGUGGGGAGCAAACGGGAUUAGAAACCCUAGUAGUCC
RNAcentral lists this ribosomal RNA (274 nucleotides) under uncultured bacterium. RNAcentral describes it as "partial 16S ribosomal RNA". It matches the Rfam family "Bacterial small subunit ribosomal RNA", at positions 523 to 796 of the family's 1533-position model. The record is from RNAcentral.